UUCCGGUUGAUCCCGCCGGAGGCUACCGCUAUUGGAGUUCGAUUAAGCCAUGCGAGUCGCGAGAAUUAGAUUCUCGGCGUACCGCUCAGUAACACGUGGGUAACCUGCCCUAUGCUGGAUAAUAACCUCGGGAAACUGAGAAUAAUGAUCUAUAGUUCACUACGCCUGGAACGGUGAGUGGAUGAAAGCUCCGGCGGCAUAGGAUGGGCCUGCGGCGUAUCAGGUUGUAGGGGGUGUAAUGUACCCUCUAGCCCUCUACGCGUACGGGUGUUGAGAGACAUCGCCCGGAGAUGGAUUCUGAGACACGAAUCCAGACCCUACGGGGUGCAGCAGGCGCGAAAACUUGGCAAUGCGAGAAAUCGUGACCAGGGAACUCCAAGUGCAUGGGGUAAGACCUAUGCUUUUCUAGACUCUAAAAAGGUCUUGGAAUAAGAGGUGGGUAAGGACGGUGCCAGCCGCCGCGGUAAUACCGGCGCCUCAAGUGGUAGUCGCUUUUAUUGGGCCUAAAACGUCCGUAGCCGGUCUGAUACAUUCGUGGGUAAAUCAACCAGCUUAACUGGUUGAAUUCUGCGAGGACGGUCAGACUUGGGACCGGGAGAGGUGUGGGGUACGCUCAGGGUAGGGGUAAAAUCCUGUCAUCCUGAGCGGACCACCUGUUGCGAAGGCGCCACACUAGAACGGAUCCGACGGUCAGGGACGAAGCCUAGGGGCACGAACCGGAUUAGAUACCCGGGUAGUCCUAGGUGUAAACGCUGUGGACUUGAUGUUGGGGGUGCUCCGAGCACUCUCAGUGUCGAAGCGAAGGCGAUAAGUCCACUGCCUGGGAAGUACGGUCGCAAGGCUGAAACUUAAAGGAAUUGGCGGGGGAGCACCGCAACCUGAGGAUUGUGCGGUUUAAUUGGAGUCAACGCCGG
RNAcentral lists this ribosomal RNA (914 nucleotides) under uncultured marine archaeon. RNAcentral describes it as "bacterial SSU rRNA". It matches the Rfam family "Archaeal small subunit ribosomal RNA", at positions 1 to 921 of the family's 1478-position model. The record is from RNAcentral.